Molecule: ribosomal RNA, 454 nt
Filed under: uncultured bacterium
Lineage: Bacteria
Description: bacterial SSU rRNA
Rfam family: Bacterial small subunit ribosomal RNA
Source: RNAcentral
GACGAACGCUGGCGGCGCGCCUAACACAUGCAAGUCGAACGAGCGAGAGAGAGCUUGCUUUCUCGAGCGAGUGGCGAACGGGUGAGUAACGCGUGAGGAACCUGCCUCAAAGAGGGGGACAACAGUUGGAAACGACUGCUAAUACCGCAUAAGCCCACGGCUCGGCAUCGAGCAGAGGGAAAAGGAGUAAUCCGCUUUGAGAUGGCCUCGCGUCCGAUUAGCUAGUUGGUGAGGUAAUGGCCCACCAAGGCGACGAUCGGUAGCCGGACUGAGAGGUUGAACGGCCACAUUGGGACUGAGACACGGCCCAGACUCCUACGGGAGGCAGCAGUGGGGAAUAUUGCACAAUGGGGGAAACCCUGAUGCAGCGACGCCGCGUGGAGGAAGAAGGUCUUCGGAUUGUAAACUCCUGUUGUUGGGGAAGAUAAUGACGGUACCCAACAAGGAAGGACGG